Caenorhabditis elegans is the source of this 150-nucleotide non-coding RNA. NCBI's taxonomy places the organism in Eukaryota, Metazoa, Nematoda, Chromadorea, Rhabditida, Rhabditidae. The record is from Ensembl.
GUGUUUAUUCAUCCUCGUAAAAUAGUUAUUUCGAAACUAGUGACUGUCGUCGUCGUAUACAUUCAAUUAAUACACGUAACCGAAAAUGAGAGAAAAGCAGAGGAAUAUGGGAUUGGGGAGGGAAAAGUGACAAAAAAAGCAUGAUGAACA